RNAcentral lists this ribosomal RNA (470 nucleotides) under uncultured bacterium. Its description in RNAcentral is "bacterial SSU rRNA". It matches the Rfam family "Bacterial small subunit ribosomal RNA", at positions 24 to 518 of the family's 1533-position model. The record is from RNAcentral.
UUAGAAUGAACGCUGGCGGCAUGGAUUAGGCAUGCAAGUCGAACGUACUCCCUUCGGGAGAAGUGGCGAAAGGGUGAGUAACACGUGAGCAACCUGCCUCCGGAUCCGGAAUAAUCCAGGGAAACUUGGUACUAAAACCGAAUGAAGACAUUGGUCCGCAUGGUCUAAUGUUAAAAUAUUUAUAGUCCGGAGAGGGGCUCGCGGCCCAUUAGCUUGUUGGCGGGUAAUGGCCACCGAGGCUACGACGGGUAGGUGGUCUGAGAGGAUGGUCACCCACACUGGGACUGAGACACUGCCCAGACUCCUACGGGAGGCUGCAGUCGAGAAUCUUCCGCAAUGGGCGCAAGCCCUGACGGAGCGAUGCCGCGUGAGGGAUGAAGGCCUUCGGGUUGUAAACCUCUGUCAUCCGGGACGAAAACAAUGACGGUACCGGAAAAGGAAGCCACGGCUAACCACGUGCCAGCAGCUGC